AUCGAUUUUAGUUGAAUUGAUAGGACGUGUUUUUUUUUUAAUAGAAAUCAUUUUUUCCCUAAGCCUGAAAAUGCAGCAACUGGACGUCAUAGGUCAAACGUUGACGUCAUUUUAAUUAUGACGUCACGCCAGGUAUGCGAUACAGAUUUUGCUAUGCGAUACGGGGUAUGCGAUACGGGUUUAGCUAUGCGAUACGGGGUAUGCGAUACAGGGUAGGUGAUACAGACUGGAAAAAAGAACCUUUAUUAGAUAUACAAAAUUGCUGUAUUUUGUACUAAAUAUAUGAUAAAGUUAUAUAUUUAUAU
Molecule: long non-coding RNA, 305 nt
Filed under: Mytilus galloprovincialis (Mediterranean mussel)
Lineage: Eukaryota; Metazoa; Mollusca; Bivalvia; Mytilida; Mytilidae
Source: RNAcentral